GUAUAAUAAAAAAAAAAAAAAGAAAUGAAAGUGCAGAUUCUCCUCUGCCUUACUGAUUCUAAAUGUAUUUCUGUGGCAUAUGCAAAAUGGACAAGAAGUUCUAUUUAACAGAAAAUGGAAACUGAGUCACAGAGAGGGUAAAUAACAUGGAAAUAUCAAAUCAUCUUGAUCUGGCAACUGUGGAAUAAAACUAAAGUCUUCUGAGAAAUUUUUAGCUUCUAAAUUAUAUUUAUAACUGUUUCCAAUAUAUUGGGCCAGUUCUACCUUGUAAAAUAAACAUCUAUAAUAACCACAACUGUUAAUGAAAUUACUCUUUCAGGGAUUGAGUUUCAUUACAUCACCAGAGAAAAAUUAAAAAGUGACAUAGAAGAGCCACAGACUGACAAGCCUCAGAGUGCCUGUGGGAACAUGGCAACUAGCCACAAGCUGGAAAGUCUGCCGCAUUCUGAAGGGCUGCACUCACCUGCAUGGGAGUCACUUGGCCAUGCUCUGGCCAUAUGCAAUCAUGCCCAAAUUAGUGCUAUAGAAAUUGAAUUAAUGCAAUACAGUUUUAAAAAAUGUGUUGUUCAUUGUAAUGGUCAGUCAAUCAGCCUGGACCACACUUCAGUCAACCUCCACCAUAGUUCAGAUGCUAUCAACUACUUACCACAUGGCUUGAGGCAAUUCACUUAGCCUCAAAGACUGUUUCCUCAUUUGUUAAAAUAAGGCUAUUAGGAGUCAUUUGUUAAGUCAUAAGGUUUUUGCAUGAGAACUGAAUUGUCUUACAAUGUCUGCCUGGCCCAAAAUAAAAAGUCAAUAAAUAUAAACUUUUUUUAAUAUUAGAUAAAAAUUUUGUAUAAAAAGCAAAAGAUGCUGAGGAAAUUUAGGAAUGAUUCCCCCUAUAAUGGAAGCAGGGUAAAUAUUCAUAAAAAUUCCUCAGUGAAAAUAAGGCUAAGGUAAGGAAUACACUAGAAGAACAAGGAAAUUCCAUUGAGUUAGCAAGGCAUCAAUACUGUGUAUGUUUUGGUAGCAAGUUACUAAGCAUACUUUGCUGCUUGCAGUUUGAGUGAUCUGGGUGUAGUCCCUUAACCUCUCUGAGAUUUGGUUUAUUUAUUUGUCAAAGGUUUAUAUUCCUAUCUUUCAGAUCUCAUAGAAUUUUUGUAUCAUAAUAAAUAGAACAAGUGAAAACAUCUUAUAAACUAUCAAAUGUAUUACAAAUUGAAAUUUUCUUAUGAGAAAAGAAAAGAAACGAGACAGAUCUUAAUAUCUACUCAGAGAAGACGAACUUCCAGAUAACCUUUUAGGAAAAGAAGGCUUUCAAAUGGCAAUGGAGAAGACAGAAAGGAGCUGGGAUGUUCACAACCCAUAACGCCGUGGUUCUCAGUAGAUGUGAGAGUGUGCAGAAAAUUAGCCUCCCAAGGGACUUUUGGUAAUGUUGGAGAUAUUUUUGGUUGUCACAACUGGUGGGAAUUACUAACUGGCACCUAUACGGUGGAUCCCAGGAAUGCCAUUAAAUGUGUUCCAAUGCACAGAAAUGCACCCAAAACAAAUAUUUACCCAGCCAAAAAUAUUAAUAGUUCUGAGGGUGUCAAACCCUGCUCUGUCAGAUGAGUAGUUUGCAUAGCAGAUAUGGAGAUUUAGUCCAAAAACAUCGGUGGAUUAUGAAUGCUGGAUGAGCAGUGGGGUCUGUAAUGGUUAAUUUUGUUUGUCAACAUGAGCGGAAUAAAAAAUAUCUAGAAAACUCGCAAGGCAUUAUUUUGUGAGGGUCUUUCCAGAGGAGAUUGGCAUUUUAGUCAGUGGAAUUAGUAAGGAAAACCUGCCCUCAAGGUACAUGAGCACCAUCCAGUUGGCUGAGGGACUGGAUAGAACAAAAAAUAGAGGAAAAUAUUUUUUUCUUUCUUUCUAGUUUGGAGCUGGAACAUACUCUUCUUCUCCUCUUGAACAUUGCAAGUCCAGCCUUUGGACUCCAGGACUUACAAAAAGAUGCCCCACCCUGGGUUUCUCAGGCCUUCGAUCUCAAACUGAGAAUGACAGUAAUAUGGUUUGGCUCUGUGUCUCCACCUAAAUCUCAUCUUGAAUUGUACUCCUGUAAUUCCCACAUGUUGUGGGAAGGAACCAGUGGAAGAUAAUUGAAUCAGGGGCAGGUCUUUCCUGUGCUGUUCUUGUGACAGUGAGUAAGUCUCACAAGACCUGAAGGCUUCAUAAGGCAUACUUUUCCUGCACAAGCUCUUUCUGCCUGCCACCAUCCAUGUAAGAUGUGACUUGCUCCUUCUUGCCUUCUGCCAUGAUUGUGAGGCUUCCCCAGUCACGUGGGACAGUAAGUCCAAUUAAACCUCUUUCUUUUGUGAAUUGCCAAGUCUUGUGUAUGUCUUUAUCAGCAGUGUAAAAAUGAAUUAAUACAGUAAAUUUGUACCAGUAGAGUGGGGCACUGCUGUAAAGAUACCUAAAAAUGUGGAAGCAACUUUGGAACUGGGUAACAGGCAGAGGUUGGAACAGUUUGGAGUGCUCAGAAGAAGAUAGGAAAAUGUGGGAAAGUUUGGAACUUCCUAGAGACUUUUUGAAUGGCUUUGCCCAAAAUGCUGAAAGUGAUACAGACAAUAAAGUCUGGGCUGAGGUGGUCUCAAAUGGAGAUGAGGAACUUGUUGGGAACUGAAGUAAAGGUGACUCUUGCUAUGUUUUUGCAAAGAGACUGGCUGCAUUUUGCCCCUGCCCUAGAGAUUUUUGAAACUUUGAACUUGAGAGAGAUGAUUUAGGGUAUCUGGUGGA
Molecule: long non-coding RNA, 2745 nt
Filed under: Homo sapiens (human)
Lineage: Eukaryota; Metazoa; Chordata; Mammalia; Primates; Hominidae
Description: HSALNT0039239
Source: RNAcentral